CAGGACGAACGCUGGCGGCGUGCCUAAUACAUGCAAGUCGAACGGUCUUUCUAUGGAAGCUUGCUUCCACUGAGAAGAUAGUGGCGAACGGGUGAGUAACACGUGGGUAACCUGCCCAUAAGAGGGGGAUAACAUCCGGAAACGGGUGCUAAUACCGCAUAGUUUUCUUGAUUGCAUGAUUGAGAAGGAAAGACGGCCUUUGUGCUGUCGCUUAUGGAUGGACCCGCGGCGUAUUAGUUAGUUGGUGAGGUAACGGCUCACCAAGACGAUGAUACGUAGCCGACCUGAGAGGGUGAUCGGCCACAUUGGGACUGAGACACGGCCCAAACUCCUACGGGAGGCAGCAGUAGGGAAUCUUCCGCAAUGGACGAAAGUCUGACGGAGCAACGCCGCGUGAGUGAAGAAGGUUUUCGGGAAUCGUAAAACUCUGUUGUCAGAGAAGAACAAGUUGGAGAGUAACUGCUCCAGCCUUGACGGUAUCUGACCAGAAAGCCACGGCUAACUACGUGCCAGCAGCUGC
This 520-nucleotide ribosomal RNA is filed under the name uncultured bacterium. RNAcentral describes it as "bacterial SSU rRNA". It matches the Rfam family "Bacterial small subunit ribosomal RNA", at positions 25 to 518 of the family's 1533-position model. The record is from RNAcentral.